GCACAAAAAAAUUAAAAAAAAGGUUUAUUUUUGGAAAUUUAGUUGUUGGAACACGGACAAAAGAGUGCUGACCCGCGAGGGUGAGCUAACUCUAAAAACCCGUCCUCAGUUCGAAUUGCAGGCUGCAACUCGCCUGCAUGAAGCCGGAGUCGCUAGUAAUCGCCGGUCAGCCAUAUGUCGGUGAAUUCGUUCUC
Gossypium hirsutum (cotton) is the source of this 194-nucleotide non-coding RNA. The record is from Rfam. Lineage: Eukaryota; Viridiplantae; Streptophyta; Magnoliopsida; Malvales; Malvaceae.